AAAUGCGAUAAGUAAUGUGAAUUGCAGAAUUCAGUGAAUCAUCGAAUCUUUGAACGCACAUUGCGCCCGCCAGUAUUCUGGCGGGCAUGCCUGUCCGAGCGUCAUUUCAACCAUCAAGCCCCCGGGCUUGUGUUGGGGACCUGCGGCUGCCCGCAGGCCCUGAAAACCAGUGGCGGGCUCGCUGUCACACCGAGCGUAGUAGCAAUCACCUCGCUCAGGGCGUGCCGCGGGUUCCGGCCGUUAAACAGCCUUACAAAACCCAAGGUUGACCUCGGAUCAGGUAGGAAGACCCGCUGAACUUAAGC
RNAcentral lists this unclassified non-coding RNA (305 nucleotides) under plant metagenome. RNAcentral's name for it is "partial contains 5.8S ribosomal RNA, internal transcribed spacer 2, and large subunit ribosomal RNA". The stretch from base 1 to 104 matches the Rfam family "5.8S ribosomal RNA", at positions 51 to 154 of the family's 154-position model. The record is from RNAcentral.